This 497-nucleotide ribosomal RNA is filed under the name uncultured bacterium. RNAcentral's name for it is "partial 16S ribosomal RNA". It matches the Rfam family "Bacterial small subunit ribosomal RNA", at positions 28 to 507 of the family's 1533-position model. The record is from RNAcentral.
GAUGAACGCUGGCGGCGUGCCUAAUACAUGCAAGUCGAGCGAACAGAUGAGGAGCUUGCUCCUCUGACGUUAGCGGCGGACGGGUGAGUAACACGUGUAUAACCUACCUAUAAGACUGGGAUAACUUCGGGAAACCGGAGCUAAUACCGGAUAAUAUAUUGAACCGCAUGGUUCAAUAGUGAAAGACGGUUUUGCUGUCACUUAUAGAUGGAUCCGCGCCGCAUUAGCUAGUUGGUAAGGUAACGGGUUACCAAGGCAACGAUGCGUAGCCGACCUCAGAGGGUGGUCGCCCACACUGGAUCGGAGACACGGUCAAGACUCCUACGGGAGGCAGCAGUAGGGAAUCUUCCGCAAUGGGCGAAAGCCUGACGGAGCAACGCCGCGUGAGUGAUGACGGUCUUCGGAUCGUAAAACUCUGUUAUUAGGGAAGAACAAAUGUGUAAGUAACUAUGCACGUCUUGACGGUACCUAAUCAGAAAGCCACGGCUAACUACGUG